This 373-nucleotide ribosomal RNA is filed under the name uncultured organism. Its description in RNAcentral is "partial 16S ribosomal RNA". It matches the Rfam family "Bacterial small subunit ribosomal RNA", at positions 526 to 897 of the family's 1533-position model. The record is from RNAcentral.
AGAGGGGUGCGAGCGUUAAUCGGAAUUAUUGGGCGUAAAGGGCGUGUAGGCGGAUGGAUAAGUCAGCUGUGAAAGUCCCGGGGCUCAACCUGGGAAGGUCAGUUGAAACUGUUCAUCUAGAGUAGAGUAGGGGGGAGCGGAAUUUCCGGUGUAGCGGUGAAAUGCGUAGAUAUCGGAAAGAACACCAGUGGCGAAGGCGGCUCCCUGGCCUCAUACUGACGCUGAGGCGCGAAAGCGUGGGUAGCGAACAGGAUUAGAUACCCUGGUAGUCCACGCCGUAAACGAUGAGUACUAGUUGUUGGUGGGUUUAACCCAUCAGUAGCGAAGCUAACGCAUGAAGUACUCCGCCUGGGGAAUACGGCCGCAGGGCUAA